CCUGGGGAGUACGGCCGCAAGGUUAAAACUCAAAUGAAUUGACGGGGGCCCGCACAAGCGGUGGAGCAUGUGGUUUAAUUCGAUGCAACGCGAAGAACCUUACCUGGUCUUGACAUCCACAGAACUUGCCAGAGAUGGCUUGGUGCCUUCGGGAACUGUGAGACAGGUGCUGCAUGGCUGUCGUCAGCUCGUGUUGUGAAAUGUUGGGUUAAGUCCCGCAACGAGCGCAACCCUUAUCCUUUGUUGCCAGCGGUCAGGCCGGGAACUCAAAGGAGACUGCCAGUGAUAAACUGGAGGAAGGUGGGGAUGACGUCAAGUCAUCAUGGCCCUUACGACCAGGGCUACACACGUGCUACAAUGGCGCAUACAAAGAGAAGCGACC
This 382-nucleotide ribosomal RNA is filed under the name Klebsiella quasipneumoniae subsp. similipneumoniae. RNAcentral describes it as "bacterial SSU rRNA". It matches the Rfam family "Bacterial small subunit ribosomal RNA", at positions 872 to 1254 of the family's 1533-position model. The record is from RNAcentral. Lineage: Bacteria; Pseudomonadati; Pseudomonadota; Gammaproteobacteria; Enterobacterales; Enterobacteriaceae.